RNAcentral lists this ribosomal RNA (497 nucleotides) under uncultured bacterium. RNAcentral's name for it is "partial 16S ribosomal RNA". It matches the Rfam family "Bacterial small subunit ribosomal RNA", at positions 28 to 507 of the family's 1533-position model. The record is from RNAcentral.
GAUGAACGCUGGCGGCGUGCCUAAUACAUGCAAGUCGAGCGAACAGACGAGGAGCUUGCUCCUCUGACGUUAGCGGCGGACGGGUGAGUAACACGUGGAUAACCUACCUAUAAGACUGGGAUAACUUCGGGAAACCGGAGCUAAUACCGGAUAACAUCUUGAACCGCAUUGUUCAAUAGUGAAAGACGGUUUUGCUGUCACUUAUAGCUGGAUCCGCGCCGCAUUAGCUAGUUGGUAAGGUAACGGCUUACCAAGGCAACGAUGCGUAGCCGACCUGCGAGGGUGAUCGGCCACACUGGAACUGAGACACGGUCCAGACUCCUACGGGAGGCAGCAGUAGGGAAUCUUCCGCAAUGGGCGAAAGCCUGACGGAGCAACGCCGCGUGAGUGAUGAAGGUCUUCGGAUCGUAAAACUCUGUUAUUAGGGAAGAACAAAUGUGUAAGUAAAUAUGCACGUCUUGACGGUACCUAAUCAGAAAGCCACGGCUAACUACGUG